GAUGAACGCUAGCGGCAGGCCUAACACAUGCAAGUCGAGGGGCAUCGCGGUGCAGCAAUGCACUGGCGGCGACCGGCGUACGGGUGCGUAACGCGUAUGCAACCUGCCCCGCACCGGGGGAUAGCCCGCCGAAAGGCGGAUUAAUACCCCAUGGUCCCGGGGGCCCGCAUGGGCAUCCGGGUAAAGCCUUGGCGGUGCGGGAUGGGCAUGCGUGCCAUUAGCUGGCUGGUGGGGUAACGGCCCACCAGGGCAACGAUGGCUAGGGGGUCUGAGAGGAUGGUCCCCCACACUGGUACUGAGACACGGACCAGACUCCUACGGGAGGCAGCAGUGAGGAAUAUUGGUCAAUGGGCGGAAGCCUGAACCAGCCAUGCCGCGUGCGGGAUGAAGGCCCUACGGGUUGUAAACCGCUUUUCCCCGGAAGAAUAACCCCGAUGAGUCGGGGAUGCCGGUACCGGGGGAAUAAGGAUCGGCUAACUCCGUGCCAGCAGCCGCGGUAAAGUCACGUCG
RNAcentral lists this ribosomal RNA (510 nucleotides) under uncultured bacterium. Its description in RNAcentral is "bacterial SSU rRNA". It matches the Rfam family "Bacterial small subunit ribosomal RNA", at positions 28 to 530 of the family's 1533-position model. The record is from RNAcentral.